Panthera uncia (snow leopard) is the source of this 2063-nucleotide long non-coding RNA. RefSeq lists it as uncharacterized. The record is from RefSeq and is a predicted model, not a curated record. NCBI's taxonomy places the organism in Eukaryota, Metazoa, Chordata, Mammalia, Carnivora, Felidae. The transcript is spliced from 3 exons.
UUAUGUUUUUCCAGCUAUAAUGUAUUCUGCACGAGCCCAGUGCUGCGGACCGCGGAUAAAACAACAGGUAUAAAUCACAGCAUUCACCCUGAGGAGCAAAGCUUGAGAAGGUCCGCUCUCCUUGAAGGUUGUUUUAUUCCUGAUUGCUUGAUUUGUACGAUUUUUACUUUUUUUUUUUUUUUAAUGUUCUGUUGAUGUUAUAGCAGCCAAUGGAAAUGAAGGCGAGUUACCCUGGAAGGAAGGUGUGCAGGGAGUUGGCAGUGUUGUGCCCAGAGCCACAGGCGCAUCCUCCAAAAGGCAAGUGAUGCCUGGCCCCCGAAGUGCAGCUUGGAGUGGAGCUGGGCCCGUGCGUCUGCCUGCCCUCCUCCCCCCCCCCCCCCCCAAGCAGAGUCUGUUGGGCUUUAGUGACAGGAAGUCACAGUGGUGUCAUUUUCAGCUGGAGAGAGAGACAGAUGCGCCCAGAUCGGUAUCACUGUCCCGGAUCAGUGACACAUUGUUGCCUCCCCAGGCUUUUGCAACCAUGGCGAACCGACUUUUUCACUCCGUCUGAGGGUCUUCUUGGUCAACGUGGUGCAAAAAGGCUGCGUUAGCAGCAGAUUGAGAUUCCUGUAUUUGGUAACCUUCUUCAGAGAAACAUUAUUAUCAUUUUGGUCCAAAUCACACUGCUGGUUGGUGUCAGUGUCGUCUGUAGGUGAGCUGAUGACAGCAAUCCCCCUCCCGACCUCUCCUGACUGUAGAGAAGAGGGGACAGCCUGCGUGGUCUCCGUGCUGGUGAAGAAGCUUGCCAGCACCCCAGACCCUCUGUGCACACUUUCUUUUGUUUUUAAUGUUUAUUUAUUUUUGAGAGAGACAGAGCAUGAGCGGAGGAGGGGCAGAGAGAGAGAGAGGGAGACACAGAAUCGGAAGCAGGCUCCAGGCUCCGAGCUGGCGGCACAGAGACCGACGUGGGGCUCGAACUCACGGACCGUGAGAUCAUGACCUGAGCCGAAGUCGGAUGCCUCAGCGACCAAGCCCCCCAGGUACCCCUCUGCGUGCACUUCCGAAGCGUUGCUGAACCGCUUUCCCAGGUGAACAGGAUAAUUGGCCCACUUUCCCCUUGGCAUCUGGGUGAACUUGGUUACACACCCUACAGAAACGCUUCCCUGGCUGUCCUGUCCUCACCGGGGGACUUCCUAGCAGACCACGUGUCACUCAUAGGUGCACGCAGCAGGAGCAGGUCGGCAUAAGAGCGUGUCACGGUCCCUCUGAUGCCACAUUCUACACGUACGUCCGCAGGUGGUGGGAAGGGGUCUUAUGGCCACUUCUGGGCAGUGAGGAAGUAUAUGCACUUGUCAUAUGCAUUUUAACAGCUGGAGAUCACAUGAUGUCACUGAGGUCAUCCCAGGGCAGGAACAGCGGAGAGAGAACAUUUCUAAGUCCCGGGUCACCGCUGGCUCCACUCUACACACUGAGCCAAAAAGCUAUGGUCACAAUGUAUCUAGAUUCAGAUAGAGAUGACAGUGGGUUCCUGGGGCGGGGAAGGAGGCGGGGAGGUGAGCCCCAGAGCCAAAAAAUAGGCCUGCUUUUCUGAUGCAACUGGAAACUCUUCAGUCACUCAGAUUAUGUUCCUAAUAUGUAUCUUCUCAUUACCUGCCUCCACUGCUGACUUGUUUUGGUGAGGACAAAUUCAGAAGGCCAAACCUCUGCAGGAAACAUCGCGAGCCAGAGAAGGAUACACCGUGUGCCGUGUUAAUGGCGUUUAGCGCCAUUUCCCCUGGUAUCAUCACGGAGUACAGACGGCUAUUAUCAUCGUGUUUCCAUUUUCCUACAAGACGUAGUUUUGAUGGAGCCAAAGGAAUCUGUCCCAAGACACCACUGAAAGACACAGAGCCGCGCGGCGGCCCCCCUCCCACGUGGCCGCUCUCCCUGCAGGAAUUAGCAGAGGCGCAGAGGGAGACAGCGCUGUCUAGAGCGGAAAGAUGCCAGGCGGGCCUCUAAGCUCGGGAGAGGCUUCACAAAAGGAGAAAACAUGUUUUUCAUCUCUCAUAAUUAGCCUUGGUAAAUAUGUAAGGAGUUGUUUUAUU